This is a long non-coding RNA of Oncorhynchus nerka (sockeye salmon), 292 nucleotides long. RefSeq lists it as uncharacterized. The record is from RefSeq and is a predicted model, not a curated record. The transcript has 3 exons. Lineage: Eukaryota; Metazoa; Chordata; Actinopteri; Salmoniformes; Salmonidae.
CCAAGAGGAGGACCAGUGCCAACAGGCCCACAGUUGAACAGAGCACUGAUACUGAUGCAGCUGAGAGAGAUUUUGUUGAUAAUCAGAGUGAUGAAGAUGAGGAUAAGGUGAAGAAGGAUCCCCUGCCUCAGAUGGAGCAGGAUGCCGUGAAGAGAAAUAAAGUCAAGACCAAGAGGACCAAGAGAAACAAAGUGGAGCAGAUCACUGAUACAGAUGCAGGUCCCUCUACAUCUGUGGAAUUUUCUGGGAUGACAGUUCAGGGGACAUCUCACCAGGGACAAUCUAAUGAAAA